This 611-nucleotide long non-coding RNA is filed under the name Manacus vitellinus (golden-collared manakin). RNAcentral describes it as "lncRNA (ENSMVIG00005004458.1)". Lineage: Eukaryota; Metazoa; Chordata; Aves; Passeriformes; Pipridae. The record is from RNAcentral.
ACUCCUAGUUCUCUCAGCUGAUGGCAGGACCAGGAACGGGAGUAAACCAUAUGUAUUUGAACAGCAAGGACAGUCAUCCAAGUGGUCCACCUUUAAAACAUAGAUCAAAACAUUUUUUUUUUUUUCCAACUUCCUUAUGGCUUAUGUUCUUCUCUGGGAGACUGUUUUCACUCAUCAAAGACAUUAGAACUAGAAACAAAUGCCAGGGAUGUCUUCAGCAACCCUGCACAGAAAGGCAAACCUCAGCCUCCAUGACAAUGGGCAACAAAGAUGCCCACCUAAUGUGAAUGGAGUCCUGCUUAGAAAACAACUGAAGAGCAGAGACCGGGCAGUAUAAAGAGGGACAGUCACUGUGAUCCCUUUGUCAGGGUCCUGAAACACUCAGCUUCCUCUUUCGAGUAGUGAUGAAAUUUAAACUAUGUGUGAUAGUUUAACAUCUGUGAGUAUGGAAAUGUUUGACAGGGGACAUGGACUGCUUCUGUCACAGCAAGAAGUACGAUAUGCAUUAUACAGAAAUAUGGUGAGGGAGUCACAAGGCUCCUGGAGCAGCAUGGUGAUAGGGUAUACACCAAAAAAUCAAGACAGUACACAAGUUAAGUUAAAAGUUGGGG